UGCGGGGUAGAGCAGUUUGGUAGCUCGCAAGGCUCAUAACCUUGAGGUCACGGGUUCAAAUCCAGUCUCCGCAA
RNAcentral lists this transfer RNA (74 nucleotides) under Thottea sumatrana. RNAcentral's name for it is "tRNA-fMet". It matches the Rfam family "tRNA". From Rfam's summary of the family: Transfer RNA (tRNA) molecules are approximately 80 nucleotides in length. The record is from RNAcentral. Lineage: Eukaryota; Viridiplantae; Streptophyta; Magnoliopsida; Piperales; Aristolochiaceae.